RNAcentral lists this long non-coding RNA (6173 nucleotides) under Nicotiana benthamiana. RNAcentral's name for it is "long non-coding RNA (NBEN_LNC010160)". The record is from RNAcentral. Lineage: Eukaryota; Viridiplantae; Streptophyta; Magnoliopsida; Solanales; Solanaceae.
GUCAAUACAACUGAAGCACCAAGUAUUUACAUACCUUCAAAAACUAAGUACCACUAAAAUAUAUGUUUUACUUACAAACAAGAAUAAGACAUCUCUAGAGUCAAUUUCUAUUCGAAUAACAACCACCCUAAAAGCAAAUUUUCUUCCGGUAACUUGUGCACUGAUGAACCAUAUUGCCAGCUAUGUUGGUUUACUCAUGCGCAUCCUACAAGAAAAAGAUAAAUCAUAAUCAUUUCUUUUAAUAAAUAAAAACUAUAAAGUACGCAAGUACAUGCCAAAAGAUGGAAGUUAUUUGAUACUAGGAACAAGGAUAAAAGUAUGAAUCAUGUAGCGGAGGAUAAUCAGGUAGGAGAAGUUCCCAACGUUGACAAAGGUCCUAUGAAGCUAGCAGUAGUAAGUAAUGAAGCACAAAAUCAAUUUUCAGAUAAGGUCAAUGACAUGGGUGAUGCAGGGCAAAGUCGUGUAGUGGCUAGGAGUGAUGCUGUGGGUGUUAGUGUUUCAGCUGCACCACAUGCUGCAAUUCCAGUUGUGCCUAUAGAAGAGAAGUUGAAGUUGGACAAGGGACCUCCUAAACCCUCUAGAGAUGUCCCUGCCUCUGCUAUAUUUACACGAAUGUACCUAGCUACUACUGGCGCAUUAAAAGCUGCUGCAGAUCGAUCUACAGGUAAUGCACCUCAUGUGCAGGAUGGUGAGGAGUUUGGUCGAGUAGCAUUAAUGUUUGAUGGAAAAAGGGAAAAUAUGAUCAAAAAACCUGCUCCUGCAAAUCCAGAAGUUGGUACUGUUUCAUUAGAAGUAGGUGCAAACCUACAACUACUGAUUGCGUUACUAAAGGUGCAAAUAUCAAAGGUGCUGCUGGAUUGCAUGAGAAGGGAGAGGACUAUGAAAGAGUACAAUUUUCCAGGAGUAAUAGUGGUGCUAAUGAUCCAAAGAAUGUGGCAAAGGUUUGGUCAGUUGUAUCACAUGAUAAAAGGGCUGCGAUAGAUCUUAAAAAGCAGGAAGUUGCAUCAGAAGACAUUAGGUGUGCUAAUGCUUUUGAUGCAUUGGCCAUUGAACAAGAAGGUAGAGAGUUUGAUCAUACUAAGAAAUUGGGACUGGUAUGCAGUGCAACACUAAAUCAGAAAUCACAAGAUACUAAUGUUCAAUUACAUGGCGCAACAAACAGUUCAGUUUCAAGAAGCAGCACAAAUCUUGGUCAAGCACUUGCUAAUGUGAAUGAGAUCGAAUGGAAGGCUACUGAUGCAAAUAUGCAACUUAUGGCUCUAGAUCAAAAUGAAGGGAAGGUAACCCCUACAAUUCACUUCUCCAGUCCUCAGGUGGAGAAAAUUAUCAAACAUUCACAGAUCGAAAUGAUGAUGUAUGCCAAUCCUAUGUUCAAGCAACCAUUGGUCACCUUGAACACAUCGGUGUAUGACAUUCCCUCUCAAUCUUGUGAGUCAAUUGGUGAGCAUUGGGAUGAAUCUGGGCAACCAUCAAUGUCCACUGGCAAUAAUAAUCAGAUUAUACAAGCCAAGGAGAGGGAGAUGGCUAUCAAAUCAAAGUUGUGGGAUGAUCAGCGAGAGGAGGACGAUGAAGAAUAUUUGGGUGAUGGUUUCGCUGGGUACUCAUCAGAGGAGGCAGAUCAUGACAAUGGUAAGGAGAGUGCAGGGGAAGAACUUGAGUCAUUAGCACUAUCAAAACCUAUUGGUGCACCAGCAACAAGUCACAAGAGUAAGUUGAAUGUCAAUGCUCCAGUUUUUCUGCCCAACAAUUCUCCAAAGAAAACAUCGAGUCGAACAGCAGCAACACAAACACCUCACACAGGUCCAGCUGCUAAUGAUCGGACAGAUGCUGCAAUUGAACAGCAGCAGCAGGCAGCACUAUCAACUUUUGGCCAGCAACAACAAAAUACAACCAAUUCAGCUGUUUCAAUGUUACAGUCAAAGGCAGGAAAGGAGCAGCAGGAUUUAAAUGCAUCAUUGAUCACAGUGGAGGACAGAAAAUUACUCGACGCGAUAGUAAGUUCCAAAACUGUAAACUUGCAAAAUUAGUCUGCGUUUAGCAUUUGUCGUGUGAUAAAAAAACAGGAAAAUACAAGACAUACAACAACAACAAUAAAACAAGGCAAUUGUGGCAAAUGCACAAGCAGAAUAAGUUUGGUACAAAGCCAAAGAUGACUUUCACAAAGCCAGCAACUAAUUUAUUUGCGAGCCCUGAAGGCAAAGUUCAUGAUACACAUGGUGGCGGCGACAACAUACUAGAUAGAAUAUCAAUGAACAUUAUCAACGAAGGAAUUUAAUUUUACAAGAGCCAGACGAAGUUUUCUUACAAUGAUAUCAUCCAUAAUCUUGAACAACUUGCCUCAUCUAAACCACUUAAAUUAGAAAUAAUGUUGAGAAAUGCAGCGAAAACUCCAUUAUGUUAAACAUAGAAAAACUACAUAAUUAAAUUGGCAUACAAAUCAGUGGAAAGGAAUGAUAUAGGAACGAGGAAGAUACAGAGAUAAUGCGACAAGAGUAAUUUAUGGAUUCAGUUGUUUUAAUAUCUUCUUUUCCCUAAUCAAAAUGUUUUGUUUUCUCGAUCUCUUUGUCUAAUUUUGCAUUUACUGCCGGUGAACCUCAACUAAGAGCUGUUUUUUUUGCCACUCCGAUUUAAUUUUGCAGUUGUAUUAACUUACUUCCAGGCAUACAUAAGCCACUCACCUCAGCCAGCUUCAAUAGGAUAUAUCAGGAGUAACUGCACCAUAGCUAAAUCUCAUAACUAAUUUAUUCUAUAAAAAGUGCUUUUCUUCUAGCAAUCCAUUCCCUAAUUAAACCUUUUUCUGUGUGUUGCUUGUCACAGAAAAGGCAAACAAUAAUGUUAUCAGAUUUUUAAAAGUUGAUUAUAUUCUAUCAAAGACAAUGUAAGGCUUUGUCUAUCUUGAUCUUCUUGAACUUAAGCAACCAAGAGCUAGUUUUUCGGCCACUCAGAUUUCAUUUUUGCAUGUGUAAUAACUUUCUGCCUGGCAAUACAUAAGCCAUUCAGCUCGGCCAAUCUUGUUAAGAAAUAUUUUACCUUUUUCUAUUUCUUGUGUCCCCUUUACAGUGAAGUGUAUUUGUCGUUAUUUUUGAUAUUUUCUCUUUCAAAUAGACUGUCUUAAUCACUUCAAGGCCGCAGCUUUUUCACUCCGAGCUCUUGGAUAGAUGCUAAAGUUGUUGUUUUGAGCAGUGUACUCUUAGCACCUGCAGUGUUCCCAUAUCCCACUCUCUCUUAGUUCUAUCUCAGAAUCUAUUAAUGUCUAAGACAAAGUAUGUGCUCUUCUUUAAAAAAAAAUCACAUAGGAGCUCUAACGUGAUUCGAUUCAGCUAUGGUUGGACAUUUUUUUUCUUUUACACUUUCUCGUGUAACUAGUUUUCUAAGACUUUUCUUUUCUCAAAAAAUAAAUAAUAUAAAUACAUAGUAAAACAGUGAUUUUUUUCCAAAGUUGGAAAUCAUCUACAAUUACAAAUCACCCCGUACUACAAUGAUACUAGUAAUAUUCCAUGGUUCUGAUGAUUAGUCCAAAGUUUACUUUAUGUGGGCCUCAAUGAAUAGCAAUACACAUGAAUAAAUUAAAUAUUCAAAAACCAAAAAUUGAACAGGGGAGAUGAAGAGAACUUUUCAUGAAUGAAACAUAUCCAACACCAAACUAGAUACACCUCUGGUUCAAAAGACAGUAGUAUGAUAUUUUUAGAGAAGGAGACAAAUAUGAGAUUGCAAAUUUUUAUUUUUUUAAUUAUAUACAAUGUGUAUAACCAAAAGCAAUGUGGGAAGUUCUUGGAGACAAGAGGGGUUGCUCUGAUGGAAAGCGACCCCCACUUCCAACCGAGAUGUUGUGAGUUCGCAUCUUCCCAAGAGCAAGGUGGAAAGUUCUGGGAGGGAAGGAUGCCGGGGUCUAUUUGGAAACAGCCUCUCUACCCUAGGAUAGGGGUAAGAUCUGCGUACACACUACACCCAGACCCCAAUAAGUGGGAUUAUACUGCGUUGUUGUUGUUGUUGUAUAAACCAAAAGGAGGAAGAGGAGCUACAUAUUGGAUUCAUAAAUAUAAAGUUAGCCGAGGUUCAAAUGAUUGUGGAUGCAACACAAGCAAUUUACUUAAAACACGGAACAGAUGAGGAUUUCGGUCAAUAUCAACACCUAAGUUUUGAUAUACUUUAUUGGAAAACAUUAUGAGAUCUUAGACUAGUAAUUUAGGAUAUUAUUCUGUGAUUGACUUGAUUUUGCACAUGAAGAAACGUGAACGACUUUCUUUUUAGGGCUGCCGUAUAAUUGAUCAAACCAUAAGGAAUUAAAGGAGAAAAAUCAUAAAUCCUAUUCUGGAAUAUCACAAUUUAAGAUUCCCAUACCCAGCUGGAUAUUUUUAGCAGUCCCCCAAUAUAUAUUCUCAUCAAGAUUCAUAGCAAAGUAACAGUAGUUCACAAACUUGGAUCAUCUAUAGCUAUAUCUAGGUAGUAUACUUGUUAUUUUCCUGAAUGAAUAUUGGGAGGAUUUUACUAACUAAAAAGAGCCUAUUGACAGGACAACGUUCUCAUUUAUCGACGAAGAUAAAGAAUAAAACGGAGAAUGAAUCUGAAAAGAGAAAUCUAAUUAGAAAGAGAACAUCAGAAGAUUCCAUACCUAAAUAAGUAUUUCAAUAAUAAAAGGCAAUCAGAAACGGUAUUUCCAUAAUUCAGUGAAGCCGUAAUCGGGUGAAGCAAUUGAAAGAGUACUUACAGGUUCUUUUCCGAUCCAAUAUGAUGCAACAACGAGGGCGCAACAGAAAAGCAGCUCGUUCAAGAUCGCUGAUAAGAAAAACCCUAGCCAGAAUGGUUAGUAAGUAGUGCGCUAAAAAUUUGGGAAAAGUUAUUAAAAAGUGAAAAGUUUGGCGCGUUUAAUUUUGGCGGAAAAUUAGAAGGUUUUAGCCCACAUCCACGCAUCUUAUUGGGAAAUAUGUAUUGCCAACAAAAAGAAUUUAUUGUUGCUAGUUCUAUUUUUAUUUUAAAUUUAUUUAUGUUAAAAAUUCUAUUUUUUGCAAUAACUAAAAUUAGUUGUUGCCAUUUAUUAAAAUUCAGCAACAUUACCAUAGUUGUUGCUAGAACGUUGUGGGCAAUUUUUAAAAUAAAAUUUAUUAUCUCAACAUUAACACAUUUGCCAACAACAAAAUUUUGUUGCCAAAAAGUAUAUGCUAUAGCAACAAAUUAUGGAGUUGUUCCCAUUUAUCCAUUUUAGCCAAUAAUAUUUCAAUUGUUGCUAAAAAGUUGCAAAUUUCAUACUUUCUUGUAGUGUAAAAAAUUACAAAUCAAAUGUAUUUAAGACAAAAUAGGCAUGAAGUAAUACCAAUAGUUUCAUGCACUUUCAUGCACUUAAACCAACAAGUCUAAAGUGAAAAAAUUGCAGUUUAGAUGCACUUAUGACCAAAUUAGUUUGAAGUACAACUAACGUUUUUAUGCACUAAAGGCCAAAUAGGCGUGAAGUGCAAAUUGCCCAAAUACAUAAAUUUGUUCUUCGAAUUUUAACAAUCCAAUAUACGAUUUAACACCUAAAUUUACUAUACAAAUGAGUCAAAUUUGAAACACAAUAUCCAAAUAUCAUCAAGAACAAACCCCAAUUAUCAAUAUUAUAAAAAAAAAAAAAAAUCUAAUAAACUCAUUUUGUAAUUAAGAAAAAGAAGAAGAAGAAACCCUAAGCAAUAGUAAAAGAUAAAGCACCCACCGCACUAUAAUAUUAUAACCUACCUUAAAAUAUAUUCAUAAAUAUUACUGUCACCCAAGAAAGAAGAAGAAGAAAUCAGUAAUAGCCCAAAUGUUUUGACAUUUAGUGACCUAGGACCAAAAUCAUGCCUUCGAUUUUCAUGUAGAAAUGAAACUUAGGAAUUAACGAGUGCAUUUUGAAUUUUAAUUUUUCAGUUUAUUUUUUUAGCAUAAAAAUAUUUGAAUCGUCUUAAAUAAAGAUUUUUAAUUUAAAAUUUUGAAAUAGAAUAAUCCGGCCUAAUACCUAAAUAGGUAAUGACUGUAUGUGCAUUUGAUCCAAUUUUCAGCGCUGCCACCCGGCCCACACGUAGUCGGUAAGAAUUAUAGCAAAUGGCACUUGAAAGCAGAGUUAAUUUGGACGGCCAAUUAGAACAAACAAAAAUAAAAUUAAGCGCUUCAAGGAAUCAUAAAACCAGGAAAUGAGAAGAUUAAAAUAAGAGACGAUGGAC